CCUUCGAUAGCUCAGUUGGUAGAGCGGUGGACUGUAGCGAAAGUUAGGAGUAGUGCGAUCGUGUGAUCAAAACUCCGAUCAUUGUAGAAAUCCAUAGGUCACUGGUUCAAAUCCGGUUCGAAGGA
This 125-nucleotide transfer RNA is filed under the name Anopheles arabiensis. Its description in RNAcentral is "tRNA tRNA-Tyr". It matches the Rfam family "tRNA". Rfam says of the family: Transfer RNA (tRNA) molecules are approximately 80 nucleotides in length. Their secondary structure includes four short double-helical elements and three loops (D, anti-codon, and T loops). The record is from RNAcentral. Lineage: Eukaryota; Metazoa; Arthropoda; Insecta; Diptera; Culicidae.